AUCCAUCUGACGAGUCCGAAAUAGGAGGAAACGCGCGUCUGAACUGGAU
Non-coding RNA from Schistosoma rodhaini, 49 nucleotides. The record is from Rfam. NCBI's taxonomy places the organism in Eukaryota, Metazoa, Platyhelminthes, Trematoda, Strigeidida, Schistosomatidae.